This 208-nucleotide ribosomal RNA is filed under the name uncultured delta proteobacterium. Its description in RNAcentral is "partial 16S ribosomal RNA". It matches the Rfam family "Bacterial small subunit ribosomal RNA", at positions 568 to 774 of the family's 1533-position model. Lineage: Bacteria; Deltaproteobacteria. The record is from RNAcentral.
CGCGUAGGCGGUUUGAUAAGUCAGAUGUGAAAGCCCCACGGCUUAACCGUGGAAGUGCAUUUGAAACUGUCAGACUUGAGUACCAGAGGGGAAAGUGGAAUUCCCGGUGUAGAGGUGAAAUUCGUAGAUAUCGGGAGGAAUACCGGUGGCGAAGGCGACUUUCUGGCUGGAUACUGACGCUGAGGCGCGAAAGCGUGGGGAGCAAACA